CUUGAAAUACCACCCUUUAAUGUUUGAUGUUCUAACGUGGACCCGUAAUCCGGGUUGCGGACAGUGUCUGGUGGGUAGUUUGACUGGGGCGGUCUCCUCCUAAAGAGUAACGGAGGAGCACGAAGGUUGGCUAAUCCUGGUCGGACAUCAGGAGGUUAGUGCAAUGGCAUAAGCCAGCUUGACUGCGAGCGUGACGGCGCGAGCAGGUGCGAAAGCAGGUCAUAGUGAUCCGGUGGUUCUGAAUGGAAGGGCCAUCGCUCAACGGAUAAAAGGUACUCCGGGGAUAACAGGCUGAUACCGCCCAAGAGUUCAUAUCGACGGCGGUGUUUGGCACCUCGAUGUCGGCUCAUCACAUCCUGGGGCUGAAGUAGGUCCCAAGGGUAUGGCUGUUCGCCAUUUAAAGUGGUACGCGAGCUGGGUUUAGAACGUCGUGAGACAGUUCGGUCCCUAUCUGCCGUGGGCGCUGGAGAACUGAGGGGGGCUGCUCCUAGUACGAGAGGACCGGAGUGGACGCAUCACUGGUGUUCGGGUUGUCAUGCCAAUGGCACUGCCCGGUAGCUAAAUGCGGAAGAGAUAAGUGCUGAAAGCAUCUAAGCACGAAACUUGCC
This 608-nucleotide ribosomal RNA is filed under the name Escherichia coli. Its description in RNAcentral is "partial 23S ribosomal RNA". It matches the Rfam family "Bacterial large subunit ribosomal RNA", at positions 2191 to 2798 of the family's 2925-position model. Lineage: Bacteria; Pseudomonadati; Pseudomonadota; Gammaproteobacteria; Enterobacterales; Enterobacteriaceae. The record is from RNAcentral.